Molecule: ribosomal RNA, 2923 nt
Filed under: Escherichia coli
Lineage: Bacteria; Pseudomonadati; Pseudomonadota; Gammaproteobacteria; Enterobacterales; Enterobacteriaceae
Description: bacterial LSU rRNA
Rfam family: Bacterial large subunit ribosomal RNA
Source: RNAcentral
GGGUUGUGAGGUUAAGCGACUAAGCGUACACGGUGGAUGCCCUGGCAGUCAGAGGCGAUGAAGGACGUGCUAAUCUGCGAUAAGCGUCGGUAAGGUGAUAUGAACCGUUAUAACCGGCGAUUUCCGAAUGGGGAAACCCAGUGUGAUUCGUCACACUAUCAUUAACUGAAUCCAUAGGUUAAUGAGGCGAACCGGGGGAACUGAAACAUCUAAGUACCCCGAGGAAAAGAAAUCAACCGAGAUUCCCCCAGUAGCGGCGAGCGAACGGGGAGCAGCCCAGAGCCUGAAUCAGUGUGUGUGUUAGUGGAAGCGUCUGGAAAGGCGCGCGAUACAGGGUGACAGCCCCGUACACAAAAAUGCACAUGCUGUGAGCUCGAUGAGUAGGGCGGGACACGUGGUAUCCUGUCUGAAUAUGGGGGGACCAUCCUCCAAGGCUAAAUACUCCUGACUGACCGAUAGUGAACCAGUACCGUGAGGGAAAGGCGAAAAGAACCCCGGCGAGGGGAGUGAAAAAGAACCUGAAACCGUGUACGUACAAGCAGUGGGAGCCUCUUUAUGGGGUGACUGCGUACCUUUUGUAUAAUGGGUCAGCGACUUAUAUUCUGUAGCAAGGUUAACCGAAUAGGGGAGCCGAAGGGAAACCGAGUCUUAACUGGGCGUUAAGUUGCAGGGUAUAGACCCGAAACCCGGUGAUCUAGCCAUGGGCAGGUUGAAGGUUGGGUAACACUAACUGGAGGACCGAACCGACUAAUGUUGAAAAAUUAGCGGAUGACUUGUGGCUGGGGGUGAAAGGCCAAUCAAACCGGGAGAUAGCUGGUUCUCCCCGAAAGCUAUUUAGGUAGCGCCUCGUGAAUUCAUCUCCGGGGGUAGAGCACUGUUUCGGCAAGGGGGUCAUCCCGACUUACCAACCCGAUGCAAACUGCGAAUACCGGAGAAUGUUAUCACGGGAGACACACGGCGGGUGCUAACGUCCGUCGUGAAGAGGGAAACAACCCAGACCGCCAGCUAAGGUCCCAAAGUCAUGGUUAAGUGGGAAACGAUGUGGGAAGGCCCAGACAGCCAGGAUGUUGGCUUAGAAGCAGCCAUCAUUUAAAGAAAGCGUAAUAGCUCACUGGUCGAGUCGGCCUGCGCGGAAGAUGUAACGGGGCUAAACCAUGCACCGAAGCUGCGGCAGCGACACUAAGUGUUGUUGGGUAGGGGAGCGUUCUGUAAGCCUGUGAAGGUGUACUGUGAGGUAUGCUGGAGGUAUCAGAAGUGCGAAUGCUGACAUAAGUAACGAUAAAGCGGGUGAAAAGCCCGCUCGCCGGAAGACCAAGGGUUCCUGUCCAACGUUAAUCGGGGCAGGGUGAGUCGACCCCUAAGGCGAGGCCGAAAGGCGUAGUCGAUGGGAAACAGGUUAAUAUUCCUGUACUUGGUGUUACUGCGAAGGGGGGACGGAGAAGGCUAUGUUGGCCGGGCGACGGUUGUCCCGGUUUAAGCGUGUAGGCUGGUUUUCCAGGCAAAUCCGGAAAAUCAAGGCUGAGGCGUGAUGACGAGGCACUACGGUGCUGAAGCAACAAAUGCCCUGCUUCCAGGAAAAGCCUCUAAGCAUCAGGUAACAUCAAAUCGUACCCCAAACCGACACAGGUGGUCAGGUAGAGAAUACCAAGGCGCUUGAGAGAACUCGGGUGAAGGAACUAGGCAAAAUGGUGCCGUAACUUCGGGAGAAGGCACGCUGAUAUGUAGGUGAAGCGACUUGCUCGUGGAGCUGAAAUCAGUCGAAGAUACCAGCUGGCUGCAACUGUUUAUUAAAAACACAGCACUGUGCAAACACGAAAGUGGACGUAUACGGUGUGACGCCUGCCCGGUGCCGGAAGGUUAAUUGAUGGGGUUAGCGCAAGCGAAGCUCUUGAUCGAAGCCCCGGUAAACGGCGGCCGUAACUAUAACGGUCCUAAGGUAGCGAAAUUCCUUGUCGGGUAAGUUCCGACCUGCACGAAUGGCGUAAUGAUGGCCAGGCUGUCUCCACCCGAGACUCAGUGAAAUUGAACUCGCUGUGAAGAUGCAGUGUACCCGCGGCAAGACGGAAAGACCCCGUGAACCUUUACUAUAGCUUGACACUGAACAUUGAGCCUUGAUGUGUAGGAUAGGUGGGAGGCUUUGAAGUGUGGACGCCAGUCUGCAUGGAGCCGACCUUGAAAUACCACCCUUUAAUGUUUGAUGUUCUAACGUUGGCCCCUGAUCGGGGUUGUGGACAGUGUCUGGUGGGUAGUUUGACUGGGGCGGUCUCCUCCUAAAGAGUAACGGAGGAGCACGAAGGUUGGCUAAUCCUGGUCGGACAUCAGGAGGUUAGUGCAAUGGCAUAAGCCAGCUUGACUGCGAGCGUGACGGCGCGAGCAGGUGCGAAAGCAGGUCAUAGUGAUCCGGUGGUUCUGAAUGGAAGGGCCAUCGCUCAACGGAUAAAAGGUACUCCGGGGAUAACAGGCUGAUACCGCCCAAGAGUUCAUAUCGACGGCGGUGUUUGGCACCUCGAUGUCGGCUCAUCACAUCCUGGGGCUGAAGUAGGUCCCAAGGGUAUGGCUGUUCGCCAUUUAAAGUGGUACGCGAGCUGGGUUUAGAACGUCGUGAGACAGUUCGGUCCCUAUCUGCCGUGGGCGCUGGAGAACUGAGGGGGGCUGCUCCUAGUACGAGAGGACCGGAGUGGACGCAUCACUGGUGUUCGGGUUGUCAUGCCAAUGGCACUGCCCGGUAGCUAAAUGCGGAAGAGAUAAGUGCUGAAAGCAUCUAAGCACGAAACUUGCCCCGAGAUGAGUUCUCCCUGACUCCUUGAGAGUCCUGAAGGAACGUUGAAGACGACGACGUUGAUAGGCCGGGUGUGUAAGCGCAGCGAUGCGUUGAGCUAACCGGUACUAAUGAACCGUGAGGCUUAACCUUACAACGCCGAAG